GGAUUAGAUACCCUGGUAGUCCACGCCGUAAACGAUGAGUGCUAGAUAUCGGGAAUUAAAUUUUCGGUUUCGCAGCUAACGCAUUAAGCACUCCGCCUGGGGACUACGAUCGCAAGAUUAAAACUCAAAGGAAUUGACGGGGGCUCGCACAAGUGGUGGAGCAUGCGGUUUAAUUCGAUGCUACGCGAAAAACCUUACCAACCCUUGACAUGGUGGUCGCGAGAGACAGAGAUGACUCUCUUCAGUUCGGCUGGACCACACACAGGUGUUGCAUGGCUGUCGUCAGCUCGUGUCG
Molecule: ribosomal RNA, 295 nt
Filed under: uncultured bacterium
Lineage: Bacteria
Description: partial 16S ribosomal RNA
Rfam family: Bacterial small subunit ribosomal RNA
Source: RNAcentral